Homo sapiens (human) is the source of this 374-nucleotide long non-coding RNA. RefSeq lists it as uncharacterized. The transcript has 3 exons. The record is from RefSeq and is a predicted model, not a curated record. Lineage: Eukaryota; Metazoa; Chordata; Mammalia; Primates; Hominidae.
UUUGCAUAUUAGGAAAGGCUGAUUGAGAAGCUCACACUCUUUCCCACAAGUCCAGUAAGCCUCAUUGGCUCAGGUGGAGAUGAUGUUUACUCCUGGAGGUCCGUGUUGGGAGCAUCUGCAGAGAUCACAGAGAUUUAGGAACGUUGCAAGUAGAGUCAUCUCCAAGAUACCCAGGAGGUAUCAGCCAUACACUGUUGCAGACACCGCUGACAAGGAACGAGCUUCUUUCUGCUUUGGUCCUAGAUACGUGGAAGAGUUUUCAGCUUCCUAGUUUGCAUUAAAUUUCCAGAAUACAUCAUGCACCUCUUCUUUAGUUUCACCCAUGGAAGCACCAGAUGAAGAACCUUCCCAGAGAACAAUGUGUGUGACAUGUC